Molecule: long non-coding RNA, 7930 nt
Filed under: Capsicum annuum
Lineage: Eukaryota; Viridiplantae; Streptophyta; Magnoliopsida; Solanales; Solanaceae
Description: long non-coding RNA (CANN_LNC007719)
Source: RNAcentral
UCCCAACUACCCUUGAAAUCAAUUGCACACGCCCUUAGAAUAUCUUCUAAGGUUUGAAUGGUUCUUUCUGCUUGACCAUCUAUCUGAGGAUGAAAGGUUUUACUGAGAUGAACUUGGGUACCAAGACCCUUUUAAAACACUUUCCAGAAGUGAGAGGUGAACUGGGUACCUCUUUCUGAGAUGAUAGAUAACGGAACACCAUGCAAUCUGACCAACUCUCUGAUGUAGAGUUUGGCAUAAUCCUUGGCUGAAUAAGAGGUAUGAACUGGAAGGAAAUAAGCUGAUUUGGUUAUUCUAUCUACAAUGACACAGACUGAAUCAUGCUGAUGACGUGUUUGAGGCAAACCCAUCAUGAAGUCCAUGUUCACUUCUUCCUACUUCCAAGUAGGAAUAAUGAACUCCUACAUCAAACCACUAGGCUUCUGAUGCUCUAUUUUAACCUGUUGACAUGUAUAGCACUUAGCUACAAACUCUACAAAAUCUUUAUUUAUUCCACUCCACUAAUAGAUAUCCCAUAAAUCACGGUACAUCUUAGUGGCCCUUGUAUAAAUAGAGUAGUGCGCACCAUGCGCCUCUGCAAUAAUUUGCUUCUUUAAGUCAUCUACACCUAGAACAAAGAGAUGAACCUGACAACGAAUAACACUAUCUUCCCCUUGUCAGAAAGCCUCCACUUUUUGAUUCUGAACUGACUCUUUCAACUUGACAAGGCUGGAAUCCCUAUCUUGCUUUUCUUUUACCUCAAAAACUAGAGAUAAUUCUGAACUACUCUGAACACAUACGCCACCCUCUGAUGAAUCAACUAAGCGAACGCCUAGUCUGGUAUGCUGAUGGACUUCUUGAGCUAGCUUCUUCUUACUAUCUUCCACAUGAGAAACACUACCUAUGGAAAGCCUACUAAGAGUGUCGACCACUACAUUGGCCUUUCUCUGAUGAUAGAGAACACUCAUGUCAUAAUCUUUCAAGAGCUCUAACUACCUUCUCUGAUGAAGAUUGCGAUCAUUCUAUGAAAAGAUAUACUGAAGGCUCUUAUGAUCUGUGAAGAAAUCUACAUGAACGCUGUAUAGAUAAUGCCUCCAAAUCUUUAAGGCAAAAACUACGGAUGCUAACUCAAGAUCAUGAGUAGGGUGAUUCUUCUCAAGGGGUUUAAGCUGUCUAGAGGCGUAGGCUAUGAACUUACCAUGCUACAUGAGGACACAACCCAAACCCACUCUGAUGCAUCAUAAUAAACUACAAACCCAUCUAAACCAUCUGAAAGAGCUAGAACAAGAGCUGAGGUAAGUUAAGUCUUCAAUUCCUAAAAACUCUUCUCGCAUGGAUCUGACCACUAAAACUUGAUUUUCUUCUGAGUCAAUCUGGACAUAGGGGAUGCAAUAAAAGUAAAUCACUCAGCAAUCUAUUUGUAAUAGCCAGCCAGACCCAAGAAACUCAUGAUAUCUGAUGGAGAUAUGGGUCUGGGCCAGUUUCUUACUGCUUUGGUCUUUUGAAGAUCUACACUAAUGCCAUCACCGAAAACGAUAUGAACAAGGAAUACUGUUGAACUUAGCCAAAAUUUGAACUUACUAAAUUUGGUGAAUAACUGAUGAUUUAUGAGAGUUUGAAGUACUAUUUUGAGAUGCUCUGCAUGAUCGCGCUCAGUGCGAGAAUAGAACAGAAUAUCAUCUAUGAAGACUAUGAUGAACAUGUCCAAGUAUUGCUUGAACACAUGGUUCAUUAAGUCCAUGAAGGCUGCUGGGGCAUUGGUAAGACCAAAUGACAUGACUAGAAAUUUAAAGUGACCAUUCUAAGUACGGAAACCUAUUUUUGGAAUGUCAUAUUCUCUAACUCUUAGAUAAUGAUAGCCUGAUUUGAAGUCUAUCUUAGAGAAAUAACUAGAACCCGAAAGUUGGUCAAACAAGUCAUCGAUUCUGGGAAGUGGAUGCUUUUUCUUGACUAUGACUUUAUUAAGUUGACGAUAAUUAAUGGACAUUCUAAGAGAACCAUCUUUCUUGCGCAUGAAUAAGAUUGGUGCACCCCAUGGGGAACUACAGGGUCUAAUGAAUCCCUUAUCUAAGAGAUCCUUCAACUGUUCUUUUAGUUCUCUGAGUUCUGUCGGUGACAUUCUGUAUGGCGGAAUAGAGAUAGGCUGAGUAUCCAGAAGAAGAUCAAUAUCGAGGUCUAUUUUCUUUCCGAAAAGAAUUCCUAGAAGAUCUUUGGGAAAGACAUCUGAAUAUUUAUUUAUAACUGAAAAUGAUUCAAGAUCGGGAGUCUCAAAGCUGGAAUCCUUAACAUGAACAAGAGGAUAGACACAUCCCUUAGAUAUCAAUUUCCUUACCCGAAGGUAGGAAACAUGCUUACCACUGAAAGCAGAUACACUACCCUUCCACUCUAGGAUGGGUUCAUUCAAAAACUAAAAAUGAACUAUUCUAUUUCUGCAGUCUACUACAGUAUAGCAGGAAUAAAAAAUCAAUCCAUGCCGAGAAUGACAUCAAAAUCAGUCAUCUCUAAUUCAACUAAGUCUGCUGAAGUAACUUUCUAAAAUAUCAUAAUCGGGAAGUUCCUGUAUACCUACCGGGCUAUGAUGGUUUUAACCACUAGGUUAGAGACUAAAAAGAGCUCUGCUAGAAUUUCAGGACUGAUUUCGAAAUCAACUUAUAUAUAAGAAGUACUAAAAGACAAAGAAGCUCCUAGAUCUAACAAAGCAUAAAUAUGCACAUGAAAGAUCUGUAACGUACCAGUAACUACAUCAGGAUAAUUUUCUUGAUCUUGUUGAGUUUGAAGGGCAUAAAGAUGAUUUGGGCGUUGCCCACUAGUAGCACUGGAAGUGGUACCCUACUGAUUUGGGCGAUCAGACUAAGCUGAAGAGCGAUUUUAUUGACCCUGAGGACCUGGCUGAGGACAGUUUCUGACUUUAUGGCCUGGCUUACCACAACCGAAACAAAUUCCACUACCCGCCCUACACAUACCUUGAUGGUGCUUACCAUAAGUCUGGCAAAGAGGAUAGAUACGGGCACUGCUAACACUGCCCUGGGUCUUAGAGCCUGGCGCUCUAUCUUUUGUUACCCUCUCUGAACUUAGGAACUGGAGCACUGGCUGUAGAGAAAGAUGGAACUGAUGACUUAGGAGGGAACUGAGAACGGUUUCCUCCUUCUAACUUAAGAUGAGCGAAGUUGAAGCUACCUGUCUUCGCUCUCUUAUUCUACUUCUCCCUCUGCUUAAUCUUCUUUUCCUCUAUCUACUGAGCAUGGGUCAUAAGUUUAGCUAAGGUCAUGUCACUAUUCAGCAUGGCAGAUCUGCACUCAUUAACACGCUGUCGUUCACCCCUGAAGCAAACUUACUUAUCUUGGAUCUACUAUCUUCAACCAUAUGAGGGGCAUAUCUGGCUCUUCAACCAUAUGAGGGGCAUAUCUGGCUAAUUGAGUAAACUUUAGAGAAUACUCUUCAUCAUCAUAUUGCCCUAGCUAAGGUUGAUGAACUCUAGCCCCUUGGCUUCUCCAAGCUCUAAGGGAAAGAAUCUGUCUAAGAAUGCAGUAACAAACUCCUCCCACUCUAUAGGACCUGCAUCAUCGGACCUUUCUGGCUGCCACCGUUUGAACCAAGCAUGAGCCAUAUCCUACAACUGGUAUGAAGCUAGACCAGCACUCUCAAUAGUAGUCACCCCCAUGAUGUCUGUCACUUUCUAGAUCUGAUAAAUGAAUUCUUAAGGCUCUUCAUCUACCUUAGACCCAAGGAAGUUUGGAGAAUUCAUUCGGGUGAGGUCUCGAAUCCUAGCUGUAGCUGACUUGGCCAUUAGGUUAGCUGGAAUAACUGUUGCCCGUUCAUUUUGAGCAUCGACUGAUUGAGCAAGAGUGGUAAAUACGGUCUUGAACUCCGCAUGAGAAACAUGAUUGCCCAAAGGUUCUUCGGGCUGAGGGGCUGACUAAUUUCUUCCCUUAAGAGGCAUAUUCUGAAAUAAAGAGAAAAAAUGGAUUAGACUGAGAGACUGAAUUGUGAUUAUGCUUAUUGGCAUCACAUGAAUAGUGAAAUAAGGGAAACUAUUCUUAUGACAUCUCAUAGCCUCCUGCACAUAAAUGUGGUGUGCAACACACCCAUGUACAAGACUCUACUAGAUGUGGCUUUCAGACUUCCUAGGACUAUUGAAUCUUAGGCUCUGGUACCAAGUUUGUAAUGCCCCGAUUUGAUGAACCGGAGUGCCACACGGUGCUCAGGACCUCAAAAGACCACAAGCUAACCCAUGAUUGAUAUCUGUACCUGUACACUGCAUAAUAUAACAUGAUAAUAUGGAAACAUGCACUGAAAGGACAUAAGGUUCAAUACUAAAUAUAAUCCACAUAACAUCUGAGUGGGGUAAUGGAAUACCCUAAACAAAAUUGAAAAUAAUGAAGUCUGAAAUCAAUUCUACAUAUAGUCUGAAAGCCUCUACUGUCUGAAAAAUUUGAAUAAAUAGUUGAUAGGAUAUGUCCCCAACUAACUCCAUCUAAUAAACUGUCUAAUGAAAUAAUAGAAAAAUCAUCAUCUCCUCGAAAGAUGAGGACUUACUUCUACUCUGACUGCUACAAACUGGAAUCUACUGCUGAUCUGGAGCUCGUAUUUCUGAACCUAUGGUAUAAGAACACCAUAGCGUGAAUUCGUCAGUACGAUUGAAUGUACUGGUAUGCAUGUGAGGUAGGCUAAAUACAUGGGAUACAUAUGCAUGAACAAAAAUAAUAACUGACUGACUAUCAUGAGCAUAGGAGUACAUGCAUGAGACGUGAUAAGUGACAUUGAUAACGUGAGUACAUGUUAACUGAAGCUAAAUGCUGAUAACUUAAUACUAAUAACUGAUAACAUGAAUGACUAUAUCUAAAUAUAACUGAUAACAUGGGUGACUGUAACUGACAGCCUUAAAUCUGAUGAAACUAUAUUAGUUCUGUACUAUUUCUGAGUUGACUAUGUCUGACAGUCCUAAUUCUGUAACAUGAAACUAUGGGAAGUAGUAUUUAAUAGAAAUGCCCUAAAUUUGCCAUAAUAGCUGAGCUGGGGUCCAAUCCAUGCCCUUAUUGGAAGGGUGUCAAUACCGCACCACUACUAAGGACAACAUGUGAGAAACCCUCCGAUAAUAGGUAACUCUAGUGAGAACAGUGGGAACCCUCAUAUAACAGGUUAAUCCACCUCUUCUACCCUCAUAUAGCAGGCUACGAUGUCUCAACCUAUGCUGGCUAUAUAGUUCUAGAAUACAAGGAUUUGCUUCUAAGAGUCAUAACCUCAUAUAACAGGUAAGUUCCCAUCCUUGGGUUCACUCGGUGCUAAUUCCUACUCCCAUCUGAAUAGACACUGAACAUGAUUUACUGAACUAAACAUGGACUGAAUUACUGAAUUUUGUUGACCAACGGAACACUACUAAUAUUUGUCAACUAGCUGAGUUCAUGAGAUCAUGGAGAUUUCCUGAGCCAUAAGACUGUCUUAAGUCUAAGGAUUCAUAGCUUGACUGAGAGUAUCGUAAAAACAUGACAUAGCUCUAGGCACAUAGCUAAUGUUUCGAGUACAAGUAUCCCCAGGACUCGAUGGAAGGAAACUGACAUGACGAUAUUCUUGAAUACAUAGUAUUAACCACAAUACAUUUAUUGAAGCAUUUGAUCAAACGUCUAAUAGGCAUAAGGUUGUACAUUCAUGGGGAUUUCAUGAUAUCAUGCUAGUUAGGAAAAUUUCAUUCAUCUAUUCAUUUAAUCAAACAAAUUAUAGGCAUGAUACAUAUAAACGUCAUUGAAUAGAAAUUUAACAUCAUUUUUCACUCCCAAUUUUUAGUCAUGAGAUUUUAUAAAUCUUUAUCUAUACUAAUCAACCCAUAUGGAAUUUAUCAUCAAGUUAUGGAAUAGAAAUCAAUUCCUCAUUUAUCAACAUGAACAUGAGCAGCCAAAAUAUGAACACAUAAAGAAAAUUCAUAACUUGUAGUUGAAAAGGGAUUCUUGGACUUCAUGGAUGAAAGGAGUCAAUGAGUGAACACUAUGCUUACACUAGUUCGUAAAUAUAUAAUGAUUGAUGGAGAGAUUAUAGAAAUUUGAUGGUGAAUUCCCUUGGAAUUGGCCCUUCUAUGAAAACCCUAGGGCUUGUUCUUUCGAGUUUCUGAGAGUAAUUGAAUAAUGAUAAGUAUUUUGGUCACCAAUAGAUUAAUUCUCUUGUUUUAGGUUAACUAGGGCCGUGGAAAAAGACCCAAUUACCCUUGAAUGAAUUUAAAAACAGAAGAUGGGAACUGAAAAUCAUGAUUUUUGACCUUGGCACGAUGCACCACUAUCGCACCAAGCCACUGGAAAUUGACAACUGGGACCUGGGACCUUGGCUCGACGCGGAGUCAAUCGCGGUGCCCUUUUGAUUCUGGUUUUCACCCUUAGUGCGAUGCACUGGGAUCACCGAGUAAUACUGGAAAAAGGAUAAACGUCAUUUUGUCUUAUGGCGUGAUGCACCACUGACUGAAUUUACGACGUUCUACGACUGAAACUUUAAAUUGCCAUAACUUCUUACCUGAUUGUCGAAUUUAGGCAAAUCUUAUAUCGAUGGAAAGCUUAAUUGAAAAUUCAUCAUGGAAUAAUCAUUGUUCAAUUUUGAAGGUAAUACUAGGAAUUCUUGGGACAAAAUUAGCUAAGAUAAAUUUUGGGGUAUUACAAUAUCUCUCCUUUGAGAACAUUCGUCCUCGAAUGAGACUAAGAGAGGGAAAGUACAUAGACUGACGUGCACUCUAAACAUGAAUAACUGGAACAUGAUCUCAAGACUGACAUGACUGAUAACUAAACACAUAACAAUGAACAUGGGCAUCUGAUACAUGUAUAAUUGAUUCAUGAAUGCAUAACUGAGUAUUCUUAAAGAAUUAAAUCUCUCACAAUGAGAAUGCAUGUCUGAGGCAUAAUUAUAUAACUGAGCUGAUACAUGAAUGCAUAACUUAAUAUUCAAUGGUACUUGAUACCAAGUUUAUCCUGGGAACAUGAACAUGAAACUGAAUACCAAGUUCGUGAUGAACACUGAACAUGAAACUGAGUAAGCUUAAGGAGAACUAUUACCUUGAGCUUGAUCUGAGUCCGCGGGGAAGAUGUGAGGAUACUUGAUAUGUAUGUCUUCUUCUUCUUCCCAGGUAUCUUCCUUGAUGGACUAAUUUCUCCAAAGAACUUUAACUAGAGGGACUUAUUUGUUCCUCAGUUUUCGAGUCUGAUAGCCUAGGAUUUCGACCUGGAUCUCCUCGUAAGAAAGGCUAUUCUGAACAUCUAUGCUCUGAAUAGGGACUACAACUGCUGGGUCACUUAUGCACUUCUUGGGAAAAGUGACAUGGAAGACUGGAUGAACUAAAUCUAGAUCUAAAGGCAAUUCGAGAUCAUAAGCUACUUUGCUGAAACGACUGAGAAUCUUGAAGGGACUGAUAUAUCGGGGACUGAGUUUUACCUUCUUGCUGAAUCUCUUCACUCCAUUCAUAGGAGAGAUCUUGAAGUAGACAUAAUUACCAAUGUUGAACUUGAGAUCCUUUCUACGAACAUCUAUAUAAGACUUCUGUCGGCUCUGAGCAGCCCGAAGUCUUUCUCUAAUCAACUGAACUUUCUCUAAGGCAUCGAAUACUAAGUCAGGCCCUAUAAUUGAGGCCUCACUAACUUUGAACCAACCAAUUAGAGAUCUACAUCUCCUACCAUAGAGAGCUUUAAAUGGAGCUAUCUGAAUACUAGAAUGAUAGCUAUUGUUGUGCUAACUCAAUCAAAGGCAAGUGGCCAUCCCAACUACCCUUGAAAUCAAUUGCACACGCCCUUAGAAUAUCUUAUAAGGUUUGAAUGGUUCUUUCUGCUUGACCAUCUAUCUGAGUAUGAAAGGCUAUAUUGAGAUGAACUCGAGUACCAAGACCCUUUAGAAACACUUUUCAGAAGUGAGGUGAACUGGGUACCUUUAUCUGAGAUAAUAGAUAACGGAACACCAUGCAAUUUAACCAACUCUCUGAUGUAGA